RNAcentral lists this ribosomal RNA (526 nucleotides) under uncultured fungus. Its description in RNAcentral is "eukaryotic LSU rRNA". The stretch from base 174 to 327 matches the Rfam family "5.8S ribosomal RNA". Lineage: Eukaryota; Fungi. The record is from RNAcentral.
UCCGUAGGUGAACCUGCGGAGGGAUCAUUAGAGAGUUGCAAAACUCCCACACCCAUGCGAACGCACCCCGUAGCCGUUGCCUCGGCGGGUGGGGCCCCCAGGGGCCGCCCCGCCGGCAGCACGCGAACCUCUGUUUAUUGUGGCCUCUCUGAGUAACUAGACAAAUAAGUCAAAACUUUCAACAACGGAUCUCUUGGUUCUGGCAUCGAUGAAGAACGCAGCGAAAUGCGAUAAGUAAUGCGAAUUGCAGAUUUCAGUGAGUCAUCGAAUCUUUGAACGCACAUUGCGCCCGCCAGUAUUCUGGCGGGCAUGCCUGUUCGAGCGUCAUUUCAACCAUCAAGCCCCCGGGCUUGCGUUGGGGGCCCCUGUGGCUGCCGCAGGCCCCCGAAAAGCAGUGGCGGGCUCGCUGUCACACCGAGCGCAGUAGCGAUUCUCGCUCCGGGCGUCGGCGGCGGGCACCGGCCGUGAAACCCCCCACAUCCACAAGGUUGACCUCGGAUCAGGUAGGAAUACCCGCUGAACUUAA